GAUGAAGAACGUAGCGAAAUGCGAUACGUAAUGUGAAUUGCAGAAUUCAGUGAAUCAUCGAGUCUUUGAACGCACAUUGCGCCCCCUGGUAUUCCGGGGGGCAUGCCUGUCCGAGCGUCAUUGCUGCCCUCAAGCCCGGCUUGUGUGUUGGGUCUCGUCCCCCUUCCCGGGGGGACGGGCCCGAAAGGCAGCGGCGGCACCGCGUCCGGUCCUCGAGCGUAUGGGGCUUUGUCACCCGCUCUGUAGGCCCGGCCGGCGCUUGCCGAUCAACCAAAACUUUUUUCCAGGUUGACCUCGGAUCAGGUAGGGAUACCCGCUGAACUUAAGCAUAUCAAUAAGCGGAGG
RNAcentral lists this unclassified non-coding RNA (345 nucleotides) under soil metagenome. RNAcentral describes it as "partial contains 5.8S ribosomal RNA, internal transcribed spacer 2, and large subunit ribosomal RNA". The stretch from base 1 to 120 matches the Rfam family "5.8S ribosomal RNA", at positions 35 to 154 of the family's 154-position model. The record is from RNAcentral.